Molecule: ribosomal RNA, 324 nt
Filed under: uncultured eukaryote
Lineage: Eukaryota
Description: partial 18S ribosomal RNA
Rfam family: Eukaryotic small subunit ribosomal RNA
Source: RNAcentral
CCCUUAGAUGUUCUGGGCCGCACGCGCGCUACACUGAUGCAUUCAACGAGUUUCUUCCUGGUCCGGGAGGAAUGGGUAACCUUUUGAAAGCGCAUCGUGAUAGGGAUAGACUAUUGCAAUUAUUGGUCUUCAACGAGGAAUUCCUAGUAGACGUAGUUCAUCAGACUGCAUCGAUUACGUCCCUGCCCUUUGUACACACCGCCCGUCGCUCCUACCGAUUGAAUGCUCAGGUGAGCCAUUCGGACUUUCAUCAUGCUGGUUUCCAGUUUUGAUGAAGGAAAGUCUUGCGAACCUUAUCAUUUAGAGGAAGGAGAAGUCGUAACA